AGAUGAGGGGCCAGAGAUGACGGGGUAAUAGUUAGAUUAUUAUUAUUUUUCAUUUUUUUUAACCUUUAUUUAACCAGGCAAGUCAGUUAAGAACAAAUUCUUAUUUUCAAUGACGGCCUAGGAACAGUGGGUUAACUGCCUGUUCAGGGGCAGAACGACAGAUUUGUACCUUGUCAGCUCGGGGGUUUGAACUUGCAACCUUCCGGUUACUAGUCCAAUGCUCUAACCACCAGGCUACCCCGUCAUCUAACCCUUAUCCUACAAUCUAACCCUUACAAUACAAUCUAACCCUUACCCUACAAUGGGGCCCAUUGUAGGGUAAGGGUUAGAUUGUAGGGUAAGGGUUAGAUUGUAGGGUUAGAUUGUAGGGUAAGGGUUAGAUUGUAGGAUAAGGGUUAGAUUGUAGGGUUAGAUUGUAGGGCAAGGGUUAGAUUGUAAGGUAAGGGUUAGAUUGUAGGGUUAGAUUGUAAGGUAAGGGUUAGAUUGUAGGAUAAGGGGUUAGAUUAAGGGUUAGAUUGUAAGGUAAGGGUUAGAUUGUAGGGUAAGGGUUAGAUUGUAGGAUAAGGGUUAGAUUAAGGGUUAGAUUGUAGGGUAAGGGUUAUAUUGUAGGGUAAGGGUUAGAUUGUAGGGUAAGGGUUAGAUUGUAAGGUAAGGGUUAGAUUGUAGGGUAAGGGUUAGAUUGUAGGGUAAGGGUUAGAAUGUAAGGUAAGGGUUAUAUUGUAGGGUAAGGGUUAGAUUGUAAGGUAAGGGUUAUAUUGUAGGGUAAGGGUUAGAUUGUAGGGUUAGAUUGUAGGGUAAGGGUUAGAUUGUAGGGUAAGGGUUAGACUGUAGGAUAAGGGUUAGAUUAAGGGCUAGAUUGUAGGAUAAGGGUUAGAUGACGGGGUAAAGGUUAGAUUGUAGGGUAAUGGUUAGAUUAUAGGGUAAGGGUUAGAUGAUGGGAUAAGGGUUAGAUUGUAGGGUAAGGGUUAGAUUGUAGGGUAAGGGUUAGAUUGUAGGGUAAGUGUUAGAUUGUAGGGUAAGGUUUAGAUUGUAAGGUAAGGGUUAGAUUGUAAGGUAAGGGUUAGAUUGUAGGAUAAUGGUUAGAUUGUAGGGUAAGGGUUAGAUUGUAGGAUAAGGGUUAGAUUGUAGGAUAAGGGUUAGAUUAAGGGUUAGAUUGUAGGAUAAUGGUUAGAUUGUAGGGUAAGGGCUAGAUUGUAGGGUAAGGGUUAGAUUGUAGAGUAAGGGUUAGAUUAAGGGUUAGAUUGUAAGGUAAGGGUUAGAUUGUGGGGUAAGGGUUAGAUUGUAGGGUAAGGGUUAGAUUGUAGGAUAAGGGUUAGAUUGUAGGAUAAGGGUUAGAUUAAGGGUUAGAUUGUAGGGUAAGGGUUAGAUUGUAGGUUAAGGGUUAGAUUGUAGGGUAAGGGUUAGAUUGUAAGGUAAGGGUUAGAUUGUAGGAUAAGGGUUAGAUUGUAAGGUAUGGGUUAGAUUGUAGGGUAAGGGUUAGAUUGUAGGGUAAGGGUUAAAUUGUAGGGUAAGAUUGUAGGGUACGGGUUAGAUUGUAGGAUAAGGGUUAGAUUAAGGGUUAGAUUGUAGGGUAAGGGUUAGAUUGUAGGGUAAGGGUUAGAUUGUAUGAUAAGGGUUAGAUUAAGGGUUAGAUUGUAGGAUAAGGGUUAGAUUGUAGGUUAAGGUUUAGAUUGUAGGGUAAGGGUUAGAUUGUAGGAUAAGGGUUAGAUUAAGGGUUAGAUUGUAGGGUAAGGGUUAGAUGAUGGGAUAAGGGUUAGGUGAUGGGAUAAGGGUUAGGUGAUGGGAUAAGGGUUAGAUUGUAGGGUAAGGGUUAGAUGAUGGGAUAAGGGUUAGGUGAUGGGAUAAGGGUUAGGUGAUGGGAUAAGGGUUAGAUGAUGGGAUAAGGGUUAGGUGAUGGGAUAAGGGUUAGAUGAUGGGAUAAGGGUUAGAUGAUGGGAUAAGGUUUAGAUUGUAGGGUAAGGGUUAGAUGAUGGGAUAAGGGUUAGGUGAUGGGAUAAGGGUUAGGUGAUGGGAUAAGGGUUAGAUGAUGGGAUAAGGGUUAGAUGAUGGGA
Molecule: long non-coding RNA, 2051 nt
Organism: Oncorhynchus tshawytscha (Chinook salmon)
Lineage: Eukaryota; Metazoa; Chordata; Actinopteri; Salmoniformes; Salmonidae
Source: Ensembl